RNAcentral lists this small RNA (672 nucleotides) under Pan troglodytes (chimpanzee). RNAcentral's name for it is "retained intron". The record is from RNAcentral. Lineage: Eukaryota; Metazoa; Chordata; Mammalia; Primates; Hominidae.
AAAAAAAAAAGUACUUCCAUUUUAUCUUCACUUAAUGGGUGAGAAAUAAAGGUUGAGAUCAUGGAAAAUAAAAAGAUUAAUUUUAUUAUAGGAAUUUUUUGAGACUUUAGUUUGGUAUAUAUGAUUAUCACAUCUUAAUUAACUUGAAUGUUUGCUUAAAUAUAGCAGCUGCUCAGCCAGGAACUGAGAUCUUUAAUCUGCCAGCAGUUACUACGUCAGGCUCAGUUAGCUCUAGAGGCCAUUCUUUUGCUGAUCCUGCCAGUAAUCUUGGGCUGGAAGACAUUAUCAGGAAGGCUCUCAUGGGAAGCUUUGAUGACAAAGUUGAGGAUCAUGGAGUUGUCAUGUCCCAGCCUAUGGGAGUAGUGCCUGGUACUGCCAACACCUCAGUUGUGACCAGUGGUGAGACACGAAGAGAGGAAGGGGACCCAUCACCUCAUUCAGGAGGAGUUUGCAAACCAAAGCUGAUCAGCAAGUCAAACAGCAGGAAAUCUAAGUCUCCUAUACCUGGGCAAGGCUACUUAGGAACCGAACGGCCCUCUUCAGUCUCCUCUGUACAUUCAGAAGGGGAUUACCAUAGGCAGACGCCAGGGUGGGCCUGGGAAGACAGGCCCUCUUCAACAGGCUCAACUCAGUUUCCUUAUAACCCUCUGACUAUGCGGAUGCUCAGCAGUA